UCCACUCCACCAAUUUCCCCACCACACUCAAAGUAUCAGCACCAACACCAACCCCACCUCACCAAACAUCCCACUCCACCAACUCCAUUAUCUUUUGCUCCCCACCAAAUCCUUCUCCCUUCUUACUCAAUAGAUCGCCAGUGGAGCUGUUUAAGAAAAUCCAAUUCGUAUAUUCCAACAGAAUGUUUACAGCAAGCUCAUGCCAACAUCAAAACCAAGUUUCACACAGAAAAAAAAAACACCCGAAAUAACAUCUAUAAUCUCCGAGAUCUCCUUAUUCAAACAGUAUAUGCCAACAAAUUUUCACCAAGAAGAAGAAAACAGAUCAGCCAAUCAAGCACAAAUAGACAAGGUAAACACUAGGCUCAGCUCAUUCAAUCCAUUCGUUUUUCAUCCAACAAGCAUGAUCGAUUAAAGGAUACUAAGCAUACAAUGAGUAUAUUCAUAAAGAGACUUAGCAAACUCAUAUGAUCUUUAGGCAGAAAUCAGUUUAUGCUAUAUUUUCUUAUCACACGAGGCAAGCAAGGAAAUUUCUUGAUACAUUAGUAAACCACGAACUUAGUUUUAUCUCUUGCAUAAUCAAUUAUAGAAAUACCAUAAUUCAAUAGAAAAAGGGAGAGAGUGAGGCUUGAGCCGGUUCUUGAGCAGAGGACAGAUUUCAGCGGCAUCUCCUGCUGCCUCGGCGGAAAUUGCGUGACAACAGCAGCAGCGUCACGAACGAAACAACGGCGCUGAAUCGCUGAUCUUCCACAAACGGUGGAGAUGGCGGCAGAACCAUGGCGGCAGAGGCGGAAAAGAAACAAGGCUCGACUCCCCGCCUGCUUUGACAUCUGAAUCGGGACCGGAACGGAGGAAGAAGGCGGCGUGACGCAACUCGAACCUCAUCGGGACCCCAAACAGCAACAACGAUCCAAGGACAGCAGCGGAUCGGCGAGCCUUUCACCUGUCGCCGGGAGGAACAGCGGCACCAUUCCAAGGGCAGCAGCGGCGCGAUGAGGGCGUCGGACACUCCCCUGCUCGCCGGCCUUCACAAGGCGGCGGCGGAACUUCAGCGUGAGGGAGAGAGACCGGAACCGAUGGCCGCUGAACAACCGAGGAAGAGGGCCGAUCAGAUCUUGGCCGAGAAAGAGAGAGAGCGGCCGGAAGGAGAGGAGGCCGACGGGCUCCAGGCCGGAGCAACGCCGCUCCCAGACGGCGACCGGCCGCCCAAUUUCG
This 1215-nucleotide long non-coding RNA is filed under the name Salvia miltiorrhiza (redroot sage). RNAcentral's name for it is "long non-coding RNA (SMIL_LNC000634)". The record is from RNAcentral. Lineage: Eukaryota; Viridiplantae; Streptophyta; Magnoliopsida; Lamiales; Lamiaceae.